RNAcentral lists this ribosomal RNA (2899 nucleotides) under Klebsiella pneumoniae. RNAcentral's name for it is "23S ribosomal RNA". It matches the Rfam family "Bacterial large subunit ribosomal RNA". Lineage: Bacteria; Pseudomonadati; Pseudomonadota; Gammaproteobacteria; Enterobacterales; Enterobacteriaceae. The record is from RNAcentral.
UUAAGCGACUAAGCGUACACGGUGGAUGCCCUGGCAGUCAGAGGCGAUGAAGGACGUGCUAAUCUGCGAAAAGCGUCGGUAAGGUGAUAUGAACCGUUACAGCCGGCGAUGUCCGAAUGGGGAAACCCAGUGCAAUUCGUUGCACUAUCGUUAACUGAAUACAUAGGUUAACGAGGCGAACCGGGGGAACUGAAACAUCUAAGUACCCCGAGGAAAAGAAAUCAACCGAGAUUCCCCCAGUAGCGGCGAGCGAACGGGGAGCAGCCCAGAGUCUGAAUCAGCUUGUGUGUUAGUGGAACGGUCUGGAAAGUCCGACGGUACAGGGUGAUAGUCCCGUACACCAAAAUGCACAGGCUGUGAACUCGAAGAGUAGGGCGGGACACGUGGUAUCCUGUCUGAAUAUGGGGGGACCAUCCUCCAAGGCUAAAUACUCCUGACUGACCGAUAGUGAACCAGUACCGUGAGGGAAAGGCGAAAAGAACCCCGGCGAGGGGAGUGAAAAAGAACCUGAAACCGUGUACGUACAAGCAGUGGGAGCACCUUCGGGUGUGACUGCGUACCUUUUGUAUAAUGGGUCAGCGACUUAUAUUCUGUAGCAAGGUUAACCGUAUAGGGGAGCCGCAGGGAAACCGAGUCUUAACUGGGCGUUAAGUUGCAGGGUAUAGACCCGAAACCCGGUGAUCUAGCCAUGGGCAGGUUGAAGGUUGGGUAACACUAACUGGAGGACCGAACCGACUAAUGUUGAAAAAUUAGCGGAUGACUUGUGGCUGGGGGUGAAAGGCCAAUCAAACCGGGAGAUAGCUGGUUCUCCCCGAAAGCUAUUUAGGUAGCGCCUCGUGAACUCAUCUUCGGGGGUAGAGCACUGUUUCGGCUAGGGGGUCAUCCCGACUUACCAACCCGAUGCAAACUACGAAUACCGAAGAAUGUUAUCACGGGAGACACACGGCGGGUGCUAACGUCCGUCGUGAAGAGGGAAACAACCCAGACCGCCAGCUAAGGUCCCAAAGUCAUGGUUAAGUGGGAAACGAUGUGGGAAGGCACAGACAGCCAGGAUGUUGGCUUAGAAGCAGCCAUCAUUUAAAGAAAGCGUAAUAGCUCACUGGUCGAGUCGGCCUGCGCGGAAGAUGUAACGGGGCUAAACCAUGCACCGAAGCUGCGGCAGCGACACUAUGUGUUGUUGGGUAGGGGAGCGUUCUGUAAGCCUGCGAAGGUGUGCUGUGAGGCAUGCUGGAGGUAUCAGAAGUGCGAAUGCUGACAUAAGUAACGAUAAAGCGGGUGAAAAGCCCGCUCGCCGGAAGACCAAGGGUUCCUGUCCAACGUUAAUCGGGGCAGGGUGAGUCGACCCCUAAGGCGAGGCCGAAAGGCGUAGUCGAUGGGAAACAGGUUAAUAUUCCUGUACUUGGUGUUACUGCGAAGGGGGGACGGAGAAGGCUAUGUUAGCCGGGCGACGGUUGUCCCGGUUUAAGCAUGUAGGCUGAUUGUCCAGGCAAAUCCGGAUAAUCAAGGCUGAGGUGUGAUGACGAGGCACUACGGUGCUGAAGUAACAAAUGCCCUGCUUCCAGGAAAAGCCUCUAAGCAUCAGGUAACAUUAAAUCGUACCCCAAACCGACACAGGUGGUCAGGUAGAGAAUACCAAGGCGCUUGAGAGAACUCGGGUGAAGGAACUAGGCAAAAUGGUGCCGUAACUUCGGGAGAAGGCACGCUGGUGUGUAGGUGAAGUCCCUGCGGAUGGAGCUGAGACCAGUCGAAGAUACCAGCUGGCUGCAACUGUUUAUUAAAAACACAGCACUGUGCAAACACGAAAGUGGACGUAUACGGUGUGACGCCUGCCCGGUGCCGGAAGGUUAAUUGAUGGGGUUAUCCGUAAGGAGAAGCUCUUGAUCGAAGCCCCGGUAAACGGCGGCCGUAACUAUAACGGUCCUAAGGUAGCGAAAUUCCUUGUCGGGUAAGUUCCGACCUGCACGAAUGGCGUAAUGAUGGCCAGGCUGUCUCCACCCGAGACUCAGUGAAAUUGAACUCGCUGUGAAGAUGCAGUGUACCCGCGGCAAGACGGAAAGACCCCGUGAACCUUUACUAUAGCUUGACACUGAACAUUGAGCCUUGAUGUGUAGGAUAGGUGGGAGGCUUUGAAGCGUGGACGCCAGUCUGCGUGGAGCCAACCUUGAAAUACCACCCUUUAAUGUUUGAUGUUCUAACGUUGGCCCCUUACCGGGGUUGCGGACAGUGUCUGGUGGGUAGUUUGACUGGGGCGGUCUCCUCCCAAAGCGUAACGGAGGAGCACGAAGGUUAGCUAAUCCUGGUCGGACAUCAGGAGGUUAGUGCAAUGGCAUAAGCUAGCUUGACUGCGAGCGUGACGGCGCGAGCAGGUGCGAAAGCAGGUCAUAGUGAUCCGGUGGUUCUGAAUGGAAGGGCCAUCGCUCAACGGAUAAAAGGUACUCCGGGGAUAACAGGCUGAUACCGCCCAAGAGUUCAUAUCGACGGCGGUGUUUGGCACCUCGAUGUCGGCUCAUCACAUCCUGGGGCUGAAGUAGGUCCCAAGGGUAUGGCUGUUCGCCAUUUAAAGUGGUACGCGAGCUGGGUUUAGAACGUCGUGAGACAGUUCGGUCCCUAUCUGCCGUGGGCGCUGGAGAAUUGAGGGGGGCUGCUCCUAGUACGAGAGGACCGGAGUGGACGCAUCACUGGUGUUCGGGUUGUCAUGCCAAUGGCACUGCCCGGUAGCUAAAUGCGGAAGAGAUAAGUGCUGAAAGCAUCUAAGCACGAAACUUGCCCCGAGAUGAGUUCUCCCUGAGACUUUAAGUCUCCUGAAGGAACGUUAAAGACGAUGACGUUGAUAGGCCGGGUGUGUAAGCGCAGCGAUGCGUUGAGCUAACCGGUACUAAUGAACCGUGAGGCUUAACCU